GGGCGCAGUCUGACGGAGCGACGCCGCGUGUGGGAUGAAGCGCCUCUGGCGUGUAAACCACUGUCAGGGAACAGAACCAAUGAUUGUUUCCAGAGGAAGGGGCGACUAACUCUGUGCCAGCAGUCGCGGUAAGACAGAGGCCCCGAGCGUUAAUCGGAAUCACUGGGCUUAAAGGGUGCGUAGGCUGAUCCGAAAGUGCUUUGUGAAAUCCCAUGGCUCAACCAUGGAACAGCGGGGCAUACUACGGAUCUCGAGGAAGGUAGGGGCCGCCAGAACAGUAGGUGGAGCGGUGAAAUGCGUAGAUAUCUACUGGAAUGCCGAUGGUGAAGACGGGCGGCUGGGCCUUUCCUGACGCUGAGGCACGAAAGCGUGGGGAGCAAACAGGAUUAGAUACCCUGGUAGUCCACGCCGUAAACGAUGCGCGCUAGAUCGGUGCCGCUCUCACGCGGGAUCGGUCGUAGUAAAAACGAUAAGUGCGCCGCCUGGGGAGUACGGUCGCAAGGCUAAAACUCAAAGGAAUUGACGGGGGC
This 530-nucleotide ribosomal RNA is filed under the name uncultured Planctomycetota bacterium. Its description in RNAcentral is "bacterial SSU rRNA". It matches the Rfam family "Bacterial small subunit ribosomal RNA", at positions 373 to 920 of the family's 1533-position model. Lineage: Bacteria; Pseudomonadati; Planctomycetota. The record is from RNAcentral.